AUUGAACGCUGGCGGAAUGCUUUACACAUGCAAGUCGAGCGGCAGCGCGGGGGCAACCCUGGCGGCGAGCGGCGAACGGGUGAGUAAUACAUCGGAACGUGUCCUUGAGUGGGGGAGUAGCUCGGCGAAAGCCGGAUUAAUACCGCAUAAGCUCUGCGGAGGAAAGACGGGGGACGUGGUAACGGCCUCGCGCUGUUGGAGCGGCCGAUGUCGGAUUAGCUAGUUGGUGGGG
This 232-nucleotide ribosomal RNA is filed under the name uncultured bacterium. RNAcentral describes it as "partial 16S ribosomal RNA". It matches the Rfam family "Bacterial small subunit ribosomal RNA", at positions 28 to 257 of the family's 1533-position model. The record is from RNAcentral.